This 2896-nucleotide ribosomal RNA is filed under the name Clostridioides difficile. Its description in RNAcentral is "23S ribosomal RNA". It matches the Rfam family "Bacterial large subunit ribosomal RNA". The record is from RNAcentral. Lineage: Bacteria; Bacillati; Bacillota; Clostridia; Peptostreptococcales; Peptostreptococcaceae.
UCAAGUUAUUAAGGGUGCAGGGCGGAUGCCUUGGCACUAGGAGCCGAUGAAGGACGUGAUAAGCUGCGAUAAGCUUCGGGGAGUUGCACGUAAACUUUGAUCCGAAGAUUUCCGAAUGAGGAAACUCACUUAGAGUAAUGUCUAAGUAUCAUUAAGUGAAUACAUAGCUUAAUGAGGGGAACUCAGGGAACUGAAACAUCUAAGUACCUGAAGGAAGAGAAAGAAAUUCGAUUCCGUAAGUAGCGGCGAGCGAACGCGGAUUAGCCCAAACCAAUAAAGUUUUCUUUAUUGGGGUUGCGGACAUAUCAUAACGAAGAGGUAUCGUAAUUGAAGAGGUUUGGAAAGACCCACCACAGAAGGUAAUAGUCCUGUAUGUUAAACGAGAAGACUUCAGAUAUGAUCCAGAGUACCACGGGACACGUGAAACCCUGUGGGAAGCAGGAGGGACCACCCUCCAAGGCUAAAUACUACCUAGUGACCGAUAGCGUAUAGUACCGUGAGGGAAAGGUGAAAAGAACCCCGGGAGGGGAGUGAAAUAGAACCUGAAACCCUGCACUUACAAGCUGUGGAAGCACAUUUCUUGUGUGACCGCGUACUUUUUGUAGAACGGGCCAACGAGUUACGUUAAGUAGCAAGGUUAAGCACUUAAGGUGUGGAGCCGUAGCGAAAGCGAGUUUUAACUGAGCGUUCAGUUACUUGACGUAGACCCGAAACCGGGCGACCUACCCAUGAGCAGGAUGAAGCGAAAGUAAAAUUUCGUGGAGGUCCGAACCCACGAGCGUUGAAAAGCUCGGGGAUGACUUGUGGGUAGCGGUGAAAUUCCAAUCGAGCCCGGAGAUAGCUGGUUCUCCCCGAAAUAGCUUUAGGGCUAGCCUCAAGGUGAGAGAUACGGAGGUAGAGCACUGAAUGUCCUAGGGGGUAUUGCACCUACCGAAGACUAUCAAACUCCGAAUGCCGUCAUCUUAUACUUGGGAGUCAGACUGUGGGUGAUAAGAUUCAUAGUCGAAAGGGCAACAGCCCAGAUCGUCAGCUAAGGUCCCUAAAUGUAAGUUAAGUGGUAAAGGAUGUGGGAUUGCACAGACAACCAGGAAGUUGGCUUAGAAGCAGCCACUCAUUCAAAGAGUGCGUAAUAGCUCACUGGUCGAGUGAUCCUGCGCCGAAGAUUUCCGGGGCUAAAACUUACUACCGAAGCUACGGCAUCAGUAAUGAUGGGUAGGGGAGCUUCCCAUACGGGUUGAAGCAUGACCGUAAGGACAUGUGGACAGUAUGGGAGUGAGAAUGUUGGCAUGAGUAGCGAGAUGUGGGUGAGAAUCCCACAGGCCGUAAACCCAAGGUUUCCAGGGGAAGGUUCGUCCGCCCUGGGUUAGUCGGGACCUAAGCUGAGGCCGAAAGGCGUAGGUGAUGGACAACAGGUUGAUAUUCCUGUACUACCGAUAACCGUUUGAGAGAAGGGAUGACACAGUAGGAUAAGCUAAGCACACUGUUGGUUAUGUGUGCCCAAGCAUUGAGGCAGUCAAAGUAGGCAAAUCCGCUUUGAUAAUGCUGGGAUGUGAUGGGGAGCGAAAUUUAGUAGCGAAGUAGCUGAUUUCACACUGUCAAGAAAAGUCUCUAUCGAGGUUAAAGGUACCCGUACCGCAAACCGACACAGGUGGGUGAGGAGAGUAUCCUAAGGCCAGCGAGAGAACUGUUGUUAAGGAACUCGGCAAAAUGACCCCGUAACUUAGGGAUAAGGGGUGCCACCAUCAGGUGGCCGCAGAGAAUAGGCCCAAGCGACUGUUUACCAAAAACAUAGGUUUCUGCUAAGUCGCAAGACGAUGUAUAGGAGCUGACGCCUGCCCGGUGCUGGAAGGUUAAGGGGAUCUGUUAGAGCAAUCGAAGCAGUGAACUUAAGCCCCAGUAAACGGCGGCCGUAACUAUAACGGUCCUAAGGUAGCGAAAUUCCUUGUCGGGUAAGUUCCGACCCGCACGAAAGGCGUAACGAUUUGGGCACUGUCUCAACAACAGACUCGGUGAAAUUGUAAUUCCGGUGAAGAUGCCGGAUACCUGCGACAGGACGGAAAGACCCCAUGGAGCUUUACUGUAGCUUGACAUUGGGUCUUGGUACUACAUGUACAGGAUAGGUGGGAGGCUUUGAAACCAGGACGCCAGUUUUGGCGGAGCCAUCCUUGGGAUACCACCCUUGUAGUACUGGGACUCUAACCAUAGGCCAUGAAUCUGGUCUUGGGACACUGUCAGGUGGGCAGUUUGACUGGGGCGGUCGCCUCCCAAAAGGUAACGGAGGCGCUCAAAGGUUCUCUCAGUACGGUCGGAAAUCGUACGUAGAGUGUAAAGGCAAAAGAGAGCUUGAUUGCAAGACAUACAGGUCGAGCAAGGAUGAAAAUCGGACUUAGUGAUCCGGUGGUUCUGCGUGGAAGGGCCAUCGCUCAACGGAUAAAAGCUACCCUGGGGAUAACAGGCUUAUCUCCCCCAAGAGUCCACAUCGACGGGGAGGUUUGGCACCUCGAUGUCGGCUCAUCACAUCCUGGGGCUGUAGUAGGUCCCAAGGGUUGGGCUGUUCGCCCAUUAAAGUGGUACGCGAGCUGGGUUCAGAACGUCGUGAGACAGUUCGGUCCCUAUCCGUCGCAGGCGUAGGAAAUUUGAGAAGACCUGUCCUUAGUACGAGAGGACCGGGAUGGACGUACCUCUGGUGUACCAGUUGUUCUGCCAAGGGCAUGGCUGGGUAGCUAUGUACGGAAUGGAUAAGCGCUGAAAGCAUCUAAGCGCGAAGCCAACUUCAAGAUAAGAUUUCCCACCGCAAGGGUAAGACCCCAGAAAGACUAUCUGGUUGAUAGGUCGAAGGUGUAAGUGCAGCAAUGUAUUUAGCUUAUCGAUACUAAUAGGUCGAGGACUUGACCAA